Molecule: ribosomal RNA, 864 nt
Filed under: Anoplophrya vulgaris
Lineage: Eukaryota; Ciliophora; Oligohymenophorea; Astomatida; Anoplophryidae
Description: partial large subunit ribosomal RNA
Rfam family: Bacterial small subunit ribosomal RNA (bases 1-762)
Source: RNAcentral
AACGUUAUUCGUAUUUACUGGGUGUAUAGUAUAAAUAAGUAAAGAAUUUAUAAAUAUAUAAAUUGUUAAAAAGUGCAAAAAAUUCUUUAAUUCUUUGUAGUGUAAUGAUAAAAUAUAGUAACACUUUAAGAAUUUCUUUUAAAAAAGUUUUUUUUACUUUUUUUUAAUUUAUGAAGGUAUAAAUAUCGAAUAGGAUUCGGGACCCUAGUAGUUUAUACAGUAAACAAUGGCUUUUUUUAAUGUAAAUAGCUCACUUAGGGAGUACGGUCGCAAGAUUGAAAUUUAACAGAAUUGGCGGGAAUUUAAUUUAACGGUGGAACAUGUGGUUUAAUACGAUAAUCCACGUAAAAUCUUACCAGUGUGUUUAAUUUAUUUAAUGUUAGUUAUUUUUAACCUUAUUAUAAAUUAUGUAGUAUUGCAUGGCUGUCGUCAGCUCGUGUUGUGAAAUGUAAAAUUAAGUUUUUUAACGAGUGCAAUCCCUAAUAUCUUUAUACUGCUAAACUAUGGUUUGUCUUUACAGGUAUUUUUGUUCAGGGUCGAAGUCAAGUCGGUAUGGUCUUUGAAUGCUGGGCUACACACGUGUUACAUUGAAAAAUACAAAAAAUGGUUUAUUUGCGAGAAUUUACUAUAUUUAAAAAUUUUUCUAAGUUCGAAUUGUUUCUUGGAAUUCAGAAGCAUGAAGAUGAAAUCGUUAGUAAUUGUAAAUAAAUAUGUUACAGUGAAUAAUUAAAUUAAAUUUUGUACACACUGCCCAUCACGCUCGAAAAGUAUAGUGAAUUUUUUUAUAAAAAACUUAUGAAUUACUUGUAAUGUAUUGGAUUAUGUUAAGUGGUUUAUAAAAAAAUAAAUUUUGUAAUUUGAGUG